UUAAUUUAAUUAACGCGUGUGAGAAUACAUAUUAAAAUCUUGUAAGCUAGCAUUAAUUCAUUUUAGCCUAUUUUCUCUUAUCCAUUUAAACUUUAAAUUAAUCGUCGGUCAGUCAUACGGUGGUGAAUCCGUUCCCUGGCCUUGUACACACCGCCCGUCACACUAUGGGAGCUUGCCAUGCCUGAAGUCGUUACCUUAACCGCAAGGAGGGGGAUGCCGAAGGCAGGGCUAGUGACUGGAGUGAAGUCGUAACAAGGUAGCCGGACUGGAAGGUGCGGCUG
Non-coding RNA from Helianthus annuus (common sunflower), 281 nucleotides. Lineage: Eukaryota; Viridiplantae; Streptophyta; Magnoliopsida; Asterales; Asteraceae. The record is from Rfam.